UUAAAUGUACGUUUGAAUAGCCCACGUCAACAUUUUAUGUUUAACAACAAGUCUGGGUACAUAUCGUAAGAUUACUAAGUUUUAGGAGAAUUAACACAUUUGUACUCAAGGGACCAUAAUUUGUAAUGUCAAUUGAAAGCAAUCAUUAGAUAUAUCACUUUUUUAAGCUUUGUGGCCUAAGCUAUCGUGAAAUGUUACACACUAUUUGUAUCACGAGUUUAGCAUGCCACUUUUAUUAUAAAACGUUGGAAGUUGAAUCUGUGGGUAAGAAGAAAAAGAGUGAUGGUUCAUGAAUAUUAGAAAAGUGUUGAAAAGGAUGAGGAAGAGUAGAUUAUGGAUGUCAGUUUUAGUUAAUCGUAACAGCAGAAACGGAAAACUGGCGAGCGAGAUAAAUCCGGCCUUGUUGCUCUUCUUCCGUCCGUUCUAUCAAGAAGUGAAAGCUGUUUUAUCAAGAGCAAGACAGACGUUGCUUAUCUUAGCUAAUUUUGAAAUGUUCUGGAUCACUUAAUUAUUUUAAAUGUGUUUAAUGCAUACCUUAAUAUAACUCUUUCUGUCCUUAAUCGUACUUUCUACUGAAUGUUCUAUUUUGUAAAUAAAUGAACUUAGCGAAUAAAUUGGAUGCCCUUGAAA
Long non-coding RNA from Limulus polyphemus (Atlantic horseshoe crab), 630 nucleotides. RefSeq lists it as uncharacterized. NCBI's taxonomy places the organism in Eukaryota, Metazoa, Arthropoda, Merostomata, Xiphosura, Limulidae. The transcript has 2 exons. The record is from RefSeq and is a predicted model, not a curated record.